UCUUCCUGUGGUUUUCAACUUCUUAUGGUGUGGUGCCGAGACAGCGAAGAACUCCUCUUUCGUAUAUAUUCAUUUGCUCCGAUUAAAACCCUAGCUUUCUCUUUGCCUCUUCUUCCUGUCCCCUUUUUCUGUGUGUGGCGCCUUUCUAUCAGAAUCGCUUGAUUUCCUGGAUCAGAGUUUCAAAUCCAUGUUAUUUUUUGGCCUUUGAGGUUGGCUUAGGGUGGAGUGGCGGAUCUGUUGUAGUGUUCUCUGACGACGACAACGGUUUGGAUCUACGAGGCAUCGAAGGCGUUCGAUGGGGCAGGGGAGCGGCCCUGAGCCUAGAGCAUUGGUGCUCGCAGAUAAUCAACCAGCUGGAAAAACUGAUUGGAGAAGUUGAGAAGAUUUGCUGGCCUCAAGGAUACCCAUUUUUUCACGGCAGUCAGUGGUGAAUAACUUCUUCACAUUCGACACUUCAAACAUAAAUUUGCAUGCAUUGGAUGUAUAGGAUUCGAAAGCACAGGUUAGUGCAAUUCAUUGGAUAAUUGAGGCUCUCCAGAGGAUGCAUUUAUUUGGUGUUGAGAACUGAGAUUUUUAACUCACAAUGCCACAGGGAAGCCAGACAAGUUGGUUUAUAUUGCCACCUAUGAGAUUCUUUAGAGAUUUCAAAACCUCUGCGUAAUACUCUGAAAAUUGAUGACAAUAUGGCCUUUCUUGAUUACAUAAACAAUACAAGGUUCAAAAGGAUGAUCUGCUUAAUUUUUCGUGUCAGAUCAGGAGAAUGCCAAUUGAGGAACUUUGCCUUCAGACACUCCUGGUAUCACAGAUUAUGUAAUGGCAGAGCUUGAAAAGUUGGGUCAGAAAUAUCGUGUGGCUUUGAGGUUUGUCCGUAUCAGAAGAAGAGUUGCAGCUGUGGGAUGAAGUCUUGAUGUUUAUAUAUUGAUGGGUGCCUCUGUAAAUUUAUAGUUAGUACAUUUAUUGUAUUAUACAAUUUAAAAUACAUUAUAAAGUACAGUACAAGAAUGUAAAGGUGCCAAAUGGCACCUUAUUUUUUUAAUAUAACCUCAUAAAUUUGCCACUGAUAUCAGUGGUAUUCCAAAGCCACUAAUAUCAGUGUGAAUUUAGAUGCUGACUUCAUCUUGGAUGAAGUGAUGACACUGUUGUUUUAUCAGUGCCUAUUGUCCCAAUAGCACCUGCAAUAGAGGGGACUGAUUCUUCAUUAGUGGCUGCAUAGUGGCUAAUGAGAUUACCCACUC
Rosa rugosa (rugosa rose) is the source of this 1235-nucleotide long non-coding RNA. RefSeq lists it as uncharacterized. The record is from RefSeq and is a predicted model, not a curated record. Lineage: Eukaryota; Viridiplantae; Streptophyta; Magnoliopsida; Rosales; Rosaceae. The transcript is spliced from 10 exons.